GACAGAGGGUGCAAACGUUGUUCGGAAUUACUGGGCGUAAAGCGUGCGCAGGCGGUUUGCUAAGUCCGUUGUGAAAGCCCCGAGCUCAACUUGGGAAUUGCAGUGGAUACUGGCAGGCUGGAGUACGGUAGAGGAAGGUGGAAUUCCCGGUGUAGCAGUGAAAUGCGUAGAUAUCGGGAGGAACACCAGUGGCGAAGGCGGCCUUCUGGACCAGUACUGACGCUCAUGCACGGAAGCGUGGGGAGCAAACAGG
RNAcentral lists this ribosomal RNA (253 nucleotides) under uncultured bacterium. Its description in RNAcentral is "partial 16S ribosomal RNA". It matches the Rfam family "Bacterial small subunit ribosomal RNA", at positions 524 to 776 of the family's 1533-position model. The record is from RNAcentral.